RNAcentral lists this long non-coding RNA (551 nucleotides) under Panax ginseng (ginseng). RNAcentral's name for it is "long non-coding RNA (PGIN_LNC008062)". The record is from RNAcentral. Lineage: Eukaryota; Viridiplantae; Streptophyta; Magnoliopsida; Apiales; Araliaceae.
UUUGAUUCAUUCCAAUUAGAUUAUUUCCAUAACUCGUAGGAGAACAACCCACCAUUACAAAACUUAAAUUUUCAGUUCUAUACCCUCGUAAUUUUGGCUCAGGAACAGCCCCCCAAAACAGUUUUAAUUAGUUCGUUUUACAUGUUUUACUAGGAAAUCCGUCAUGAUUUCGUUACAACGGAUUUUUCCCUCGUUCCAAUUGGGUUGUGUUCAUAACUCGUAAGAGUACCACAGAUCAUCCCGGAACUUAAUUUUUCAGUUUCAAAGCACAACACAAUUUGGUCCAAAACAGUCCACUAGUUGUCCAAUUGGAGCUUAUUAGUCUUUUAGAGGUCUUAAAUCAAACACCUCAUAUGCAAUUCAUAUAAGAACAGAGUUUAUAUAUACUUUUAUACAAGUUUAGCCCAAAAUCUCCUCCCUUAUUGCUCCUCACAGUCCAACCUAAACUCCUUUUACUAAUUCUCAAUCCCAAACACAAAACACAUCUAAUUAUAGCACUUUUAUUAUCAAAUUUCUAAUACAACAACUAAAAUAUUGAACAUACCUUUAAA